GCCACGCUUUCAUUUUGUGGCCUUGCUUCAGCUGGGGGACGAAACAAAAGCCCUCUGAAGAUAGAUUCUUUCCUGAGUUUUUGAUAGCUACAAAACCUGAUCUCCAGAGGGUAUUACAUUUUGGGAGUGACUUAAUUUUACUCAUCCUCCAGUAGAGCCUGAGAUAAGGACCUAAGAACAGCAGUGUGCGAGAGCAUUUGGGGUGAACUUUGGCAAUGACCAGGAGUGGGAGUUGACUAGUAUUCAAAGAAAGAGAUGUAAAAGAAAAUGGAGAUAAAGAAAAGAGGGAAAACAAAGAUGUAGAGAAUUUGGAUUUCAGUUCAGCCCUUGGAUUAGUGCACAGGGGCCACAUUUCUGGAUCAGAACUCAGGCCCAGGGCAUCAUCACAUCUGUCACCAAUAAAAAAUGAGCUUGGUUGUCACCCCAAACAAGGAGAAUAGAAUCUAAGGAUUCUUAAGCCCAGGAUUCUCAAGCUCUGACUUCCUCAUUUCUUCUGAGGCUUCCCACUAGAGCUUUUAAAGUGCUCAACAAGGAGAUGGUUGGUUAGUUUCAUGAAAGAACUCAGUAAACAAUGAUUUCCAACCUUUGUAGGUCCCCACCCCUGUCUGAGACAGGCCAUUCCUCCAGAACACCAGGGGGAGCUGUUGUGCUGCCCAGUCCCAGCACCAAGAUGGCUCCCAUUGGAGUGUGGCUAUAGACAUAUGUGUAUUCAAACCAUCAGGACCCUGCUAGUCACAGAGAGCCGAAUGUUUGAAACUGGGAUGGUCCUAGAGUUUCCAGAACUGUGGUGGUCAAUGACCAUGGAGGGAAAUGUAGUUUCUAUCAUAUCUGGAAGCUGCUAUCUCCCCAAACUUCUCCCUUUCACCUCAGUCCCCUGCUGUGUUUCACUUCUUGAUGAGGUCUACAAUAAAGUAAGUGAAAAGUGAAGCCAUCCUAAAGUAAUACCAGAGAGCAUCUUGGAAGGAAAAGAUGUAGACAGAAACGUCUCUGUCACCAUGUAGCUUACAUUCUGUGGCUCCUACUUCCUGGAAUGUCUUAUUCACUGAUAAUUUCCAAGGUUUCCUAAACCUGGGGU
Molecule: long non-coding RNA, 1075 nt
Organism: Neofelis nebulosa (Clouded leopard)
Lineage: Eukaryota; Metazoa; Chordata; Mammalia; Carnivora; Felidae
Exons: 4
Source: RefSeq, a predicted model, not a curated record